GCCGGUUUAGCUUAGUGGUAGAGCGUUGCACUUGUAUCAUCACAUGUGGUGUAGCUAUGCAAAGGUCGGUUGUUCAAUCCAGCCAACCGGCA
Non-coding RNA from Marasmius sp. AFHP31, 92 nucleotides. NCBI's taxonomy places the organism in Eukaryota, Fungi, Basidiomycota, Agaricomycetes, Agaricales, Marasmiaceae. The record is from the annotation of a GenBank genome assembly.